RNAcentral lists this ribosomal RNA (1420 nucleotides) under Lactiplantibacillus plantarum. Its description in RNAcentral is "bacterial SSU rRNA". It matches the Rfam family "Bacterial small subunit ribosomal RNA". The record is from RNAcentral. Lineage: Bacteria; Bacillati; Bacillota; Bacilli; Lactobacillales; Lactobacillaceae.
GAACUCUGGUAUUGAUUGGUGCUUGCAUCAUGAUUUACAUUUGAGUGAGUGGCGAACUGGUGAGUAACACGUGGGAAACCUGCCCAGAAGCGGGGGAUAACACCUGGAAACAGAUGCUAAUACCGCAUAACAACUUGGACCGCAUGGUCCGAGCUUGAAAGAUGGCUUCGGCUAUCACUUUUGGAUGGUCCCGCGGCGUAUUAGCUAGAUGGUGGGGUAACGGCUCACCAUGGCAAUGAUACGUAGCCGACCUGAGAGGGUAAUCGGCCACAUUGGGACUGAGACACGGCCCAAACUCCUACGGGAGGCAGCAGUAGGGAAUCUUCCACAAUGGACGAAAGUCUGAUGGAGCAACGCCGCGUGAGUGAAGAAGGGUUUCGGCUCGUAAAACUCUGUUGUUAAAGAAGAACAUAUCUGAGAGUAACUGUUCAGGUAUUGACGGUAUUUAACCAGAAAGCCACGGCUAACUACGUGCCAGCAGCCGCGGUAAUACGUAGGUGGCAAGCGUUGUCCGGAUUUAUUGGGCGUAAAGCGAGCGCAGGCGGUUUUUUAAGUCUGAUGUGAAAGCCUUCGGCUCAACCGAAGAAGUGCAUCGGAAACUGGGAAACUUGAGUGCAGAAGAGGACAGUGGAACUCCAUGUGUAGCGGUGAAAUGCGUAGAUAUAUGGAAGAACACCAGUGGCGAAGGCGGCUGUCUGGUCUGUAACUGACGCUGAGGCUCGAAAGUAUGGGUAGCAAACAGGAUUAGAUACCCUGGUAGUCCAUACCGUAAACGAUGAAUGCUAAGUGUUGGAGGGUUUCCGCCCUUCAGUGCUGCAGCUAACGCAUUAAGCAUUCCGCCUGGGGAGUACGGCCGCAAGGCUGAAACUCAAAGGAAUUGACGGGGGCCCGCACAAGCGGUGGAGCAUGUGGUUUAAUUCGAAGCUACGCGAAGAACCUUACCAGGUCUUGACAUACUAUGCAAAUCUAAGAGAUUAGACGUUCCCUUCGGGGACAUGGAUACAGGUGGUGCAUGGUUGUCGUCAGCUCGUGUCGUGAGAUGUUGGGUUAAGUCCCGCAACGAGCGCAACCCUUAUUAUCAGUUGCCAGCAUUAAGUUGGGCACUCUGGUGAGACUGCCGGUGACAAACCGGAGGAAGGUGGGGAUGACGUCAAAUCAUCAUGCCCCUUAUGACCUGGGCUACACACGUGCUACAAUGGAUGGUACAACGAGUUGCGAACUCGCGAGAGUAAGCUAAUCUCUUAAAGCCAUUCUCAGUUCGGAUUGUAGGCUGCAACUCGCCUACAUGAAGUCGGAAUCGCUAGUAAUCGCGGAUCAGCAUGCCGCGGUGAAUACGUUCCCGGGCCUUGUACACACCGCCCGUCACACCAUGAGAGUUUGUAACACCCAAAGUCGGUGGGGUAACCUUUUAGGAACCAGC